UGGGGAAUAUUGCACAAUGGGGGAAACCCUGAUGCAGCGACGCCGCGUGAACGAAGAAGGUAUUCGUAUCGUAAAGUUCUGUCCUAUGGGAAGAUAAUGACAGUACCAUAGAAGAAAGCUCCGGCUAAAUACGUGCCAGCAGCCGCGGUAAUACGUAUGGAGCGAGCGUUGUCCGGAAUUAUUGGGCGUAAAGGGUACGCAGGCGGUUUAAUAAGUCGAAUGUUAAAGAUCGGGGCUCAACCCCGCAAAGCAUUGGAAACUGAUAAACUUGAGUAGUGGAGAGGAAAGUGGAAUUCCUAGUGUAGUGGUGUAAUACGUAGAUAUUAGGAGGAAUACCAGUAGCGAAGGCGACUUUCUGGACACAAACUGACGCUGAGGUACGAAAGCGUGGGGAGCAAACAGG
Molecule: ribosomal RNA, 403 nt
Filed under: bacterium
Lineage: Bacteria
Description: partial 16S ribosomal RNA
Rfam family: Bacterial small subunit ribosomal RNA
Source: RNAcentral